CAGUCGCCGCGGUAAUACGUAGGUCCCGAGCGUUGUCCGGAUUUGUUGGGCGUAAAGCGAGCGCAGGCGGUUAGAUAAGUCUGAAGUUAAAGGCUGUGGCUUAACCAUAGUACGCUUUGGAAACUGUUUAACUUGAGUGCAGAAGGGGAGAGUGGAAUUCCAUGUGUAGCGGUGAAAUGCGUAGAUAUAUGGAGGAACACCGGUGGCGAAAGCGGCUCUCUGGUCUGUAACUGACGCUGAGGCUCGAAAGCGUGGGGAGCAAACAGGAUUAGAUACCCCCGUAGUCCCUGUCUCUUAUACA
RNAcentral lists this ribosomal RNA (301 nucleotides) under uncultured bacterium. RNAcentral's name for it is "partial 16S ribosomal RNA". It matches the Rfam family "Bacterial small subunit ribosomal RNA", at positions 509 to 808 of the family's 1533-position model. The record is from RNAcentral.